Molecule: long non-coding RNA, 1211 nt
Organism: Ailuropoda melanoleuca (giant panda)
Lineage: Eukaryota; Metazoa; Chordata; Mammalia; Carnivora; Ursidae
Exons: 3
Source: RefSeq, a predicted model, not a curated record
GUCCUGGGGAGAGCUCGGCGGCUCCCGGUAUUGCGGGUCCUGUGUGACAAUGGGUCUACCGGCCGGUGGGAUUCGCGUGUCGCUGGCCUCGCUGGGCCGGGUUCGUGACGUCAUAAAACAUGAAGGUAGCUGAAUCCAGACCAGAACUAACAUUUGCUCAAGAUUGGGUCCCAAAAAGGAGAGCCAGUACCCAAGUCAAAUCUCGAACUACAAGUACUUAUUACAGUCUUUCUGGAACCCACGAAUGCCAAGGCACUUGCUCCACAAGACAGCCUGGAACCAAGGUGUAAUCAAGCCUUUCACUGGUCCCACUGGACUGGGCUAUGAAUCAUCUCCCUUUCUUACCCAACUGGCACAGAUAAAUAGCAACUGAACAGCAUUUUGUCUCCUGAAGAGUAUAAUUUCCUUAAAUUAACAUAAGGUACUAGCUGUUCUAUUCACUUGCAGCUUUUAUAAGGCCAGACAUAUCUCAGGAAGGCCUCACUAAUCUCAGGAAGCAACCCACACGUGGAAAAAGCCUAUUACAGAGGUGAAAUCCUCUUAAGGAGAUGGAGUAGGCAGAAUCGUCGUCAUGAUCACCUGUCUGGGAAAUCUGAGCUGAUGGGACCUGAACAGCACUGCAGCUCCAAGCAAUAACACCACCUUUUGUGCUCAGGUUCAUUUUAUUGCCGAAAUCAUUCUGUCACCUGCCUCUUCCCUGGGGGCUGAGCUAAUAAGAGAUUGUUGCAUCUAUCAGCAAGACCAACUGGUCCACUGAAAUUUAUCUCACAAAUAGUAGCUGGUCAAAAGAUGAGAAAGUGGCACAAAGUGGUCUAAUUUUUGUAAGUCCCCUCCCCCCCACACACACACCUACACACCUUUGUGGAAAAAACACCAGCUUUUCCUUCAGUGAAGCAGCAACCUGUAAAGUAAUGGGUCCUUUCAGAGCAUUCAGAUAUGGCCUACAUUGGGGCUGAUAUUUAUUCCACUGGUUUCUGGCAUUUUAUUCAGGUUAAACUUGCAGUGUUUCAGUCUUCAGCUGAAAGUGACUUUUUUCCCUAAUCUUCAUAACCUGGAGGGAGUACAAAUCAUUUAGGUAUAUACAACUGUAGUAAUGCAUUCAAAGUAUAAACAAAAAGUAGGAAAAAUUUUUUUCCCUGUGGAUUCCUGCUAAAUAUUUUAAGAAUCAGUGGGGAUUAUGAUAUUCACUCAUUUUUUAACCAUGGGUCGGA